RNAcentral lists this long non-coding RNA (728 nucleotides) under Lupinus angustifolius (narrow-leaved blue lupine). Its description in RNAcentral is "long non-coding RNA (LANG_LNC001455)". Lineage: Eukaryota; Viridiplantae; Streptophyta; Magnoliopsida; Fabales; Fabaceae. The record is from RNAcentral.
UCCAUGACUAUAUAAAGAUAGAUUAUAAUGAAUUGAUACAUUCAUUCAAGAAAGGUGAAUUGAUCAAGUGAGAGAAAUUAUUUGAGUAUGAAGAUGUCUAUUGUUAAACUAAUGUUCUUAUUAUUUGUCAUCUUGGCGUCAGGUUAGAAAUUUUGUUUUACUUUCAACCUCGAAUAUGUCUCUUUUCUAAAUGUGUAAAUCAUGUUCUACACCUUACCAUUUUUUACACUACUUUAAUAAUACCUCCAAACUUUAAUUGCUUUAUAUUCUAUAUGAUGUGUUGUUUUUGUGUUCACAUAUAUUAUUUUUGUGAAUAAUACAGAUAUGUGUAAAGAAGUAGAUGCCAGGGGUCCCAUUGUGCAUCUUAAACCGUGUGAGACAAAUGCAGAUUGUGAAAGAGACUAUGGUCCCGGUUUCAUAUGUAUUAAUAAAUCAUAUUGUUAUCCAGGGUCAUUUAAGAAAACUUGAUAGCCAAGCAUUGCAUGAAGGAGUAUGUUAGAGGCAGAAAAUAGAAAGACCCCAAAGAAACUUACAAAAAUCUUGUUGGAUGAAAAAAAUGUGUAGAAGAUUAAAACCUUCUUAAAAAUAUUUUAUAGUGUUUAUCUUUUUCAGCUAUUUCAAUUGUAAGAUCUGACCAGAUGUAAGGUCUAAAUCAUUUUCCUUUUUCUGGAAUUUGCUUUACUAUGGAAAAUAUUACUGAUGAAUAAGGCAUGAUGAAUUUCAAUGAA